Molecule: microRNA precursor, 74 nt
Organism: Lepisosteus oculatus (spotted gar)
Lineage: Eukaryota; Metazoa; Chordata; Actinopteri; Semionotiformes; Lepisosteidae
Rfam family: mir-148/mir-152 microRNA precursor family
About the family: The hairpin precursors (represented here) are predicted based on base pairing and cross-species conservation -- their extents are not known. In this case the mature sequence is excised from the 3' arm of the hairpin.
Source: Rfam
CUGAGGUGAAGUUCUGUUAUACACUCAGACUGUGACUCCAGGGAAGUCAGUGCAUCACAGAACUUUGUCUCGGG